Molecule: long non-coding RNA, 206 nt
Filed under: Elaeis guineensis (African oil palm)
Lineage: Eukaryota; Viridiplantae; Streptophyta; Magnoliopsida; Arecales; Arecaceae
Description: long non-coding RNA (EGUI_LNC035884)
Source: RNAcentral
AGCUUGCUCAUUCGUUCCAUCAACUUGAUCAUGUACAAUACAUGAUCAGUGACAGAGGCACCAUCCCGUAUUUUGGUGUUGAAGAUGGCACAAGUAGUCUUAUGCCUCUCCACGUCAUUGGGUGUGCCAAAGGUAUCCUCCAACACUUGAAGCAUGUCCUUUGGCUGAGCCAUCUCAAAUCUACGACUGAACUCGUCGCUCAUGGC